RNAcentral lists this ribosomal RNA (315 nucleotides) under uncultured bacterium. Its description in RNAcentral is "bacterial SSU rRNA". It matches the Rfam family "Bacterial small subunit ribosomal RNA", at positions 28 to 334 of the family's 1533-position model. The record is from RNAcentral.
GAUAAACGCUGGCGGCGCACAUAAGACAUGCAAGUCGAACGAACUUAAUAUCUUGCUUGCAAGGUAAGCGGUUAGUGGCGGACUGGUGAGUAACACGUAAGAAAUCUGCCUAUCAGAGGGGAAUAACAGUGAGAAAUCACUGCUAAUACCGCAUAUGCCAUAAACAUCGCAUGAUGUUAGUGGGAAAGAAGCAAUUCGCUGAUAGAUGAGCUUGCGGCUGAUUAGCUAGUUGGUGGGGUAAAGGCCUACCAAGGCGACGAUCAGUAGCCGGACUGAGAGGUUGAACGGCCACAUUGGGACUGAGAUACGGCCCAG